CUGUCACCUCUUCUGGGAAACUUUCCCUGACACGCUCAGGUUUUUGUCCGGGUCAAAUUUUAUCAACUAUAACAUCUGCCUUUGUGAGUUUCAUUUUGUGGCCAUUACUUCUACCAAAUCUAACUGUUCCCAAACAGAUUUGGAUGUCUGCAUUUCGUCAAGGUUUGAUUCUUCAGGAAAUUCUGAAUAAGCAGAAGGUGGGACCGAGUGAUGAUGCCCCUCGGAAGGGCCCAGUCUCUGCCUGUGGGUCACCACGACAUCAUCACAGAUAUCGCCAUGUUCCAGACGACACAGGGCUUCAUCGUGACUGCUUCUAGAGAUGAGAUUGUUACGGUGUGGAAAUGAAAACUGGGUGAUUUGUAUAAUUUGCAAUAAAGUUAUAAAUAUAUUGUAACAGCAGAGGAAAGGUAUUUCUAGAGAAUAGAAGCGAGAUCAGAUUCAUUUGCUUAAUUUUCAAAAUCAUUGUGUUUUUUUGUUUUUUGUUUUUUUUUUACUGUUU
Molecule: long non-coding RNA, 499 nt
Organism: Mesoplodon densirostris (Blainville's beaked whale)
Lineage: Eukaryota; Metazoa; Chordata; Mammalia; Artiodactyla; Ziphiidae
Exons: 3
Source: RefSeq, a predicted model, not a curated record